CGCGUGCUCCCUUCUCUUGGGAGUAUUCGCAGCAGACUCACAAGUUAAAUUAAUUACCAGUUCCCAGUUACCUCAGGCCAGCGCCAAACCUCAUUGGUUUUCCGAACUUUUCUGCGUGUUUUCUGUUACUGACAACUGACUGCCGACCUAAUCUGCAAAUAAUAAUACAGCGUGUGUGCAUGUGCGUGUGUUUGAAUAAAUUUAUAUUAAAGGUGCACACCAUAUCGCAAGUCAGCCGAUGUUCAAAAUCACCAGGCUUAAAGGUAUCAGAACCUUAUCUUAACACAGAGAAUUUUACCAAAUAAAGCCUGGUCUGGUUGUUUCAUCCGUGUUAACCAAUUGCGAGGGCCGAUUUGUGAAUAUGGAACACAAUAUCUGAGAUGCAUCAUUCUAGAAAGAGAAAAGACAUACCAAACAGUACUGUAAAUCGACCGAAGGAAGGCCCACUGGAUGGAACUACACAUCAGAAGCUUCAUAUUUUGGGCCCAAAGAAACACUCCUGGAAGUUUCAGCAGAAUUAAUCUGUGGUCCGGAGGUCUGAUACUCUCCUUGUGAUACUGUCCACAUGAGCUGUCAGUACCAUCAGUCUAUCACCGGAACGGCAAUUUAGUACACGUGGUUAUGUUCGUUUCAUGCCAUUUGUACCUUCUCGCAAUAGCAUUAUUACAUUUCAAUAUUUGGAUUGUAAACUCGUUGUCAUAACGAUUGAACUUUGCUAAGUAUGGCCUGUGGUAAAUACAUCUAUCAUGUGUAAUAAACGACACGCCUAUAGGCAUGAUAUUGACGUGCCAAACCGAAGUAUCAAAAUCAGCUCGUCUUGAUACAAUUAUCAACACGUAUGCGAAUGCUAAACAAGUCUGUGAUACCAACUAAACGAGUUUACAUCUUCCAACUUCGUACCUACCCAAGCUGCAUAACUGCAGCUAAUUGGAAAUGAACAUAAAACGAUCUGUCAUCUGACGAUAAGAAGACACACGUCGGUGAUUGCCAGGUAGACAUGUAAGAAUAGCAAGAACACGAAAAUAAAUCGCGAGGAUGGACAAGUUUUUAAUACAUAUCUUUUAUUAGGCUCUAUUUAUAUUUAUGUAGUUUAUUAAUAUAAUUAGACAUCAAGUGUAACACUAAUAAUAGAUGAAUACAUCGCAUAAUGUUAGCACAUGGAUAGACAAGUCGAGGAAUGUUUUUCAAGCCAGUCAAACGAUAAAGGUUCGUGUUUUGUGUUUCCGAGAGUGAAAGAAACUGGAGUUGGAAAAGAAAUAAACUAUCGAUGUUAACGAAUCAGCAAGCAAUUCAAAUCUGCUCGUAAAGCUCGUAAAUUAUAGUUCCUGCACUUAGUGUGCAAACUAACGUUUUAACAACGUAAA
RNAcentral lists this long non-coding RNA (1364 nucleotides) under Neodiprion pinetum (white pine sawfly). Its description in RNAcentral is "uncharacterized LOC124219756". The record is from RNAcentral. Lineage: Eukaryota; Metazoa; Arthropoda; Insecta; Hymenoptera; Diprionidae.